RNAcentral lists this ribosomal RNA (331 nucleotides) under uncultured bacterium. RNAcentral describes it as "partial 16S ribosomal RNA". It matches the Rfam family "Bacterial small subunit ribosomal RNA", at positions 338 to 666 of the family's 1533-position model. The record is from RNAcentral.
GCUACGGGAGGCAGCAGUGAGGAAUAUUGGUCAAUGGGCUUACGCCUGAACCAGCCAAGUCGCGUGCGGGAAGACUGCCCUAUGGGUUGUAAACCUCUUUUGUCAGGGAGCAAUUGGCGCUACGUGUAGCGUUAUCGAGAGUAACUGCAGAAAAAGCAUCGGCUAACUCCGUGCCAGCAGCCGCGGUCAUACCGAGGAUGCGAGCGCUAUCCGGAUUUAUUGGGUUUAACGGGUGCGUAGGCUGAAUGCCAAGUCAGCGGGAAAAUCGCGGGGCUAAACCUCGCGCCGCCGUUGAAACUGGCGUUCUUGAGUGGGCGAGAAGUAUGCGGAA